RNAcentral lists this ribosomal RNA (253 nucleotides) under uncultured bacterium. Its description in RNAcentral is "partial 16S ribosomal RNA". It matches the Rfam family "Bacterial small subunit ribosomal RNA", at positions 524 to 776 of the family's 1533-position model. The record is from RNAcentral.
UACGUAGGGUGCAAGCGUUGUCCGGAAUUAUUGGGCGUAAAGAGCUCGUAGGCGGUUUGUCGCGUCGAAUGUGAAAACCCGGGGCUCAACUCCGGGCCUGCAUUCGAUACGGGCAGACCAGAGUUCGGUAGGGGAGACUGGAAUUCCUGGUGUAGCGGUGAAAUGCGCAGAUAUCAGGAGGAACACCGGUGGCGAAGGCGGGUCUCUGGGCCGAUACUGACGCUGAGGAGCGAAAGCGUGGGGAGCAAACAGG